Molecule: ribosomal RNA, 583 nt
Filed under: uncultured Pseudomonas sp.
Lineage: Bacteria; Pseudomonadati; Pseudomonadota; Gammaproteobacteria; Pseudomonadales; Pseudomonadaceae
Description: bacterial SSU rRNA
Rfam family: Bacterial small subunit ribosomal RNA
Source: RNAcentral
GUCGAGCGGAUGAAGGGAGCUUGCUCCUGGAUUCAGCGGCGGACGGGUGAGUAAUGCCUAGGAAUCUGCCUGGUAGUGGGGGAUAACGUCCGGAAACGGGCGCUAAUACCGCAUACGUCCUGAGGGAGAAAGUGGGGGAUCUUCGGACCUCACGCUAUCAGAUGAGCCUAGGUCGGAUUAGCUAGUUGGUGGGGUAAAGGCCUACCAAGGCGACGAUCCGUAACUGGUCUGAGAGGAUGAUCAGUCACACUGGAACUGAGACACGGUCCAGACUCCUACGGGAGGCAGCAGUGGGGAAUAUUGGACAAUGGGCGAAAGCCUGAUCCAGCCAUGCCGCGUGUGUGAAGAAGGUCUUCGGAUUGUAAAGCACUUUAAGUUGGGAGGAAGGGCAGUAAGUUAAUACCUUGCUGUUUUGACGUUACCAACAGAAUAAGCACCGGCUAACUUCGUGCCAGCAGCCGCGGUAAUACGAAGGGUGCAAGCGUUAAUCGGAAUUACUGGGCGUAAAGCGCGCGUAGGUGGUUCAGCAAGUUGGAUGUGAAAUCCCCGGGCUCAACCUGGGAACUGCAUCCAAAACUACUGA